UCGUCGGUGGUUGCCAUUCUAUGGUUUGUGACUCUACUCCGAGCUCCACACCUGAACACAUCCCUCUAUUUGAGACGAGUAUAACUGAUAGCUGCAGCCCGCUCCGCCAGUGGCUACCUCGCCGUAUCUGGGCUAUCCUACCCCAGGCGCAUGACAGUUUUGGCCCGGACACUUUACUCCUUCGUCCACCAACACUUUGUGACGGCACUCAUGACGAAUGCCUACCGUUACGUCUAUGUUUGCAGUGUAUUUGUGUGUGAUAUGUACAUUCUGAUGAAUAUAAUUAUGAAAAUGCA
Molecule: long non-coding RNA, 296 nt
Organism: Penaeus chinensis
Lineage: Eukaryota; Metazoa; Arthropoda; Malacostraca; Decapoda; Penaeidae
Exons: 2
Source: RefSeq, a predicted model, not a curated record